GAUGAACGCUGGCGGCGUGCUUAACACAUGCAAGUCGAACGGAUAGGCCCUGCUUGCGGGGUACUCGAGUGGCGAACGGGUGAGUAACACGUGGGUGAUCUGCCCUGCACGUCGGGAUAAGCCUGGGAAACUGGGUCUAAUACCGGAUAGGAGCCAUGUUUUGUGUGAUGGUUGGUAGGUUUUUUGGGUGUUGGAUUAGCUCGCGGCGUAACAGCUUGUUGGGGGGGUAAUGGCCUACCAAGGCGGCGGCGGGUAGCCGGCCUGGGAGGGUGGACGGCCACACUGGGACUUAGGGACGGCACAGACACCGACGGGAGGGCGAAGGGGGGAAGACUGCCGGAGCGGCGCCAGGCGGAUGCAGAGAGGCUGCGGGGGGUAAGACGGCCUUCGGGUUGAAGACCCAUUUCGGUAGGGACGAAGCUUUUUGUGACGGUACCUAGAUAAGAAGCAACGGCUAACUACGUG
Molecule: ribosomal RNA, 465 nt
Filed under: uncultured bacterium
Lineage: Bacteria
Description: partial 16S ribosomal RNA
Rfam family: Bacterial small subunit ribosomal RNA
Source: RNAcentral